UACGGGGGGGGCAAGCGUUGUUCGGAAUUACUGGGCGGAAAGGGCUCGUAGGCGGCCAACUAAGUCAUACGUGAAAUCCCCCGGCUUAACCGGGGAACUGCGUCUGAUACUGGAUGGCUUGAGUUCGGGAGAGGGAUGCGGAAUUCCAGGUGUAGCGGUGAAAUGCGUAGAUAUCUGGAGGAACACCGGUGGCGAAGGCGGCAUCCUGGACCGAUACUGACGCUGAGACGCGAAAGCGUGGGGAGCGAACAGG
Molecule: ribosomal RNA, 253 nt
Filed under: uncultured bacterium
Lineage: Bacteria
Description: partial 16S ribosomal RNA
Rfam family: Bacterial small subunit ribosomal RNA
Source: RNAcentral